UAGGGAAUCUUCCGCAAUGGGCGAAAGCCUGACGGAGCAACGCCGCGUGAGUGAUGAAGGUCUUCGGAUCGUAAAACUCUGUUAUUAGGGAAGAACAAAUGUGUAAGUAACUAUGCACGUCUUGACGGUACCUAAUCAGAAAGCCACGGCUAACUACGUGCCAGCAGCCUCGGUAAUACGUAGGUGGCAAGCGUUAUCCGGAAUUAUUGGGCGUAAAGCGCGCGUAGGCGGUUUUUUAAGUCUGAUGUGAAAGCCCCCGGCUCAAACGUGGUGGGUCACUGGAAACUGGAAAACUUGAGUGCAGAAGAGGAAAGUGGAAUUCCAUGUGUAGCGGUGAAAUGCGCAGAGAUAUGGAGGAACACCAGUGGCGAAGGCGACUUUCUGGUCUGUAACUGACGCUGAUGUGCGAAAGCGUGGGGAUCAAACAGG
Molecule: ribosomal RNA, 429 nt
Filed under: Actinomycetes bacterium
Lineage: Bacteria; Bacillati; Actinomycetota; Actinomycetes
Description: Actinobacteria bacterium partial 16S ribosomal RNA
Rfam family: Bacterial small subunit ribosomal RNA
Source: RNAcentral